GAGUGAAGGGGUCGGCUCCUGUUCUCUGAUUGCCUUUUUUCUCUCUGUAUUUCAGCAGCCUUCGUAAGCCUUCCUCACUCAGUAAAGCCUCCGACAGCCCCUGGGGAGAGAAAACCGUGGCCAUGUCAGGACUUCACUUCCAAGCUUGGGUUAUAAGCAGGACUUGGCUUCCAUCUCAGGUUCUCCCUCUCAUCUCUCCAGAAUCAUUUCACUCUGAGAGAAACCAGCUACUGUGGAAAGGCAGUCCUGUGGACAGGCACACAUGGCAAGGAACUAGGGGCUACCAACAGCCAUGCAUGAAAUCCUGGAAUUGGGUCCUCUUGGAGUUGAACCCUGAGAUGCCUGCAGGCCCUGCCAACAUCUUGACUGCAGCCUUCUAACAGACCCUGUAGCUAAGACACUUCCAGAUUCCUGACCCACAGAAACCCACAGAAAAUAAAUGUUUGUUGUUUGCAGCA
Molecule: long non-coding RNA, 458 nt
Organism: Aethalodelphis obliquidens (Pacific white-sided dolphin)
Lineage: Eukaryota; Metazoa; Chordata; Mammalia; Artiodactyla; Delphinidae
Exons: 2
Source: RefSeq, a predicted model, not a curated record